AUUGAACGCUGGCGGCAGGCCUAACACAUGCAAGUCGAGCGGAUGACGGGAGCUUGCUCCUUGAUUCAGCGGCGGACGGGUGAGUAAUGCCUAGGAAUCUGCCUGGUAGUGGGGGACAACGUUUCGAAAGGAACGCUAAUACCGCAUACGUCCUACGGGAGAAAGCAGGGGACCUUCGGGCCUUGCGCUAUCAGAUGAGCCUAGGGCGGAUUAGCUAGUUGGUGGGGGAAUGGCUCACCAAGGCGACGAUCCGUAACUGGUCUGAGAGGCUGAUCGGUCACACUGGAACUGAGACACGGUCCAGACUCCUACGGGAGGCAGCAGUGGGGAAUAUUGGACAAUGGGCGAAAGCCUGAUCCAGCCAUGCCGCGUGUGUGAAGAAGGUCUUCGGAUUGUAAAGCACUUUAAGUUGGGAGGAAGGGCAGUAAGCUAAUACCUUGCUGUUUUGACGUUACCGACAGAAUAAGCACCGGCUAACUCUGUGCCAGCCGCCGCGGUAA
Molecule: ribosomal RNA, 500 nt
Filed under: uncultured bacterium
Lineage: Bacteria
Description: partial 16S ribosomal RNA
Rfam family: Bacterial small subunit ribosomal RNA
Source: RNAcentral